RNAcentral lists this long non-coding RNA (221 nucleotides) under Elaeis guineensis (African oil palm). RNAcentral describes it as "long non-coding RNA (EGUI_LNC047737)". Lineage: Eukaryota; Viridiplantae; Streptophyta; Magnoliopsida; Arecales; Arecaceae. The record is from RNAcentral.
GGUGCUAGUUCAACCAGCAUGACCUUAAUCUAAUUCAAUGACUUGGUGAAGUUAGUGGGAGGAUUGUGGUUACUGGUUAAUCUCAUUUCAUCUCUUCUCUAAAUUGAUUAAAAUUUUCUAAAUUAUUAGAUCCUUAAAAUGAGCUAGUUAUGGGGAUAACUAGAUCAUAGCGUCCCAUUAAGUUGGAUGAUAAUGGAUCUAUUAGUAUGAUGAUCAUUGGA